GAUUAAAGAUUUAUCGGUGAUGGAUGGGGAUGCGUCUGAUUAGCUUGUUGGCGGGGUAACGGCCCACCAAGGCUACGAUCAGUAGGGGUUCUGAGAGGAAGGUCCCCCACAUUGGAACUGAGACACGGUCCAAACUCCUACGGGAGGCAGCAGUGAGGAAUAUUGGUCAAUGGACGAGAGUCUGAACCAGCCAAGUAGCGUGCAGGAAGACGGCCCUAUGGGUUGUAAACUGCUUUUAUAAGGGAAUAAAGUGAGUCUCGUGAGACUUUUUGCAUGUACCUUAUGAAUAAGGACCGGCUAAUUCCGUGCCAGCAGCCGCGGUAAUACGGAAGGUCCGGGCGUUAUCCGGAUUUAUUGGGUUUAAAGGGAGCGUAGGCCGGAGAUUAAGCGUGUUGUGAAAUGUAGAUGCUCAACAUCUGCACUGCAGCGCGAACUGGUUUCCUUGAGUACGCACAAAGUGGGCGGAAUUCGUGGUGUAGCGGUGAAAUGCUUAGAUAUCACGAAGAACUCCGAUUGCGAAGGCAGCUCACUGGAGCGCAACUGACGCUGAAGCUCGAAAGUGCGGGUAUCGAACAGGAUUAGAUACCCUGGUAGUCCGCACGGUAAACGAUGGAUGCCCGCUGUUGGUCUGAAUAGGUCAGCGGCCAAGCGAAAGCAUUAAGCAUCCCACCUGGGGAGUACGCCGGCAA
RNAcentral lists this ribosomal RNA (689 nucleotides) under uncultured bacterium. RNAcentral's name for it is "bacterial SSU rRNA". It matches the Rfam family "Bacterial small subunit ribosomal RNA", at positions 199 to 891 of the family's 1533-position model. The record is from RNAcentral.